GUCCACGCCGUAAACGAUGGAUGCUAGCCGUUGGUGGGUUUACCCUUCAGUGGCGCAGCUAACGCAUUAAGCAUCCCGCCUGGGGAGUACGGUCGCAAGAUUAAAACUCAAAGGAAUUGACGGGGGCCCGCACAAGCGGUGGAGCAUGUGGUUCAAUUCGAAGCAACGCGCAGAACCUUACCAGCCCUUGACAUGUCCCGUAUGGGUUUCAGAGAUGAGACCCUUCAGUUCGGCUGGCGGGAACACAGGUGCUGCAUGGCUGUCGU
This 266-nucleotide ribosomal RNA is filed under the name uncultured bacterium. Its description in RNAcentral is "partial 16S ribosomal RNA". It matches the Rfam family "Bacterial small subunit ribosomal RNA", at positions 793 to 1055 of the family's 1533-position model. The record is from RNAcentral.